Molecule: small nucleolar RNA, 130 nt
Organism: Sorex fumeus (smoky shrew)
Lineage: Eukaryota; Metazoa; Chordata; Mammalia; Eulipotyphla; Soricidae
Product: small nucleolar RNA SNORA20
Exons: 1
Source: RefSeq, a predicted model, not a curated record
CUUCCCAUUGAUUUUGCUGCUCUGCUCUGACCGUGAUCUGAGCAGUUAUACGCGUGGGAUACAGUGACGGGACCUUUGUAAAUGGGGGUGCAGCAUCCGUUUCCAUCCCCAGUGCGUGGUCUCGACAUUG